UCGGGGCGUGGACCGACGC
Molecule: small nuclear RNA, 19 nt
Filed under: Arabidopsis thaliana (thale cress)
Lineage: Eukaryota; Viridiplantae; Streptophyta; Magnoliopsida; Brassicales; Brassicaceae
Description: snRNA_18495
Source: RNAcentral